RNAcentral lists this ribosomal RNA (244 nucleotides) under uncultured Rikenellaceae bacterium. RNAcentral's name for it is "partial 16S ribosomal RNA". It matches the Rfam family "Bacterial small subunit ribosomal RNA", at positions 1138 to 1382 of the family's 1533-position model. The record is from RNAcentral. Lineage: Bacteria; Pseudomonadati; Bacteroidota; Bacteroidia; Bacteroidales; Rikenellaceae.
CUCAGGCGGGACGUGCCGGCGUAAGCCGAGAGGAAGCGGGGAUGACGUCAAGUCAGCACGGCCCUUACGUCCAGGGCUACACACGUGUUACAAUGGCCGGUACGAGAGGGAGGCGACCCGCGAGGGGAGCGGAUCCCGAAAGCCGGUCGUAGUUCGGAUCGGGGUCUGGAACCCGACCCCGUGAAGCCGGAUUCGCUAGUAAUCGCGCAUCAGCCAUGGCGCGGUGAAUACGUUCCCGGGCCUU